Molecule: ribosomal RNA, 390 nt
Filed under: uncultured bacterium
Lineage: Bacteria
Description: bacterial SSU rRNA
Rfam family: Bacterial small subunit ribosomal RNA
Source: RNAcentral
AUUGAACGCUGGCGGCAUGCCUUACACAUGCAAGUCGAACGGCAGCACGGGAGCAAUCCUGGUGGCGAGUGGCGAACGGGUGAGUAAUAUAUCGGAACGUGCCCAGUCGUGGGGAUAACGUAGCGAAAGCUACGCUAAUACCGCAUACGAUCUAUGGAUGAAAGCGGGGGAUCGCAAGACCUCGCGCGAUUGGAGCGGCCGAUAUCAGAUUAGGUAGUUGGUGAGGUAAAGGCUCGCCAAGCCGACGAUCUGUAGCUGGUCUGAGAGGACGGACCAGCCACACUGGGACUGAGACACGGCCCAGACUCCUACGGGAGGCAGCAGUGGGGGAAUUUUUGGGACAAUGGGCGCAAGCCUGAUCCAGCAAUGCCGCGUGCAGGAUGAAGGCCU